Long non-coding RNA from Marmota monax (woodchuck), 3241 nucleotides. RefSeq lists it as uncharacterized. The transcript is spliced from 5 exons. The record is from RefSeq and is a predicted model, not a curated record. Lineage: Eukaryota; Metazoa; Chordata; Mammalia; Rodentia; Sciuridae.
GCAUCACUGAUUAGCCAACCCCAGGUCACAAGCAGUGCUGGAGAACGGGGAAGGAGAGCACUUCAGGAACCUUAGAGCAGGCCUGUGGCAUGGUGAAGUUCUCCGUCAGGUCUAUCACUGUUGAGGAAGAACUCUGAAGACGGACCUUGGCUGGUGAAGCAAGAUGGUGGCUUGGUCAAGUCCAUGGAUAAGGAAAGAAUGAAAAUCACAUUCUAGAAGAUUCAGUCACACUAUUAUUGCAUGGUCAUAUUGUAGGCAGUAGGUUAAGUGUUAUAGUUGGCACUAUUUUGCUUAGCGUUGUAAACAGGUUGGUGAGCUGUUUGCAUCCACAUUUUACAAAUAAGGAAGUCAAGGACACACAGAAUAAUGAAUAUUGCACAAAACUGGGUCUUGGAGCUUUUCUUUCAAAGUGGGAUGUGUCCACAGAUGUCCCUGGGUGGCAGCGGCACGUAAACAUGACAAAGGAAUCCCAGGGCACAAUAUCAUGGAUAUUUAAGAAAUGCCUGGUGAUCUCAUAAUCUCCACCAGUGCAUUGUUUGAGUUGAGGGAUUGGGAGGAAAAAAUGCCGAGAAAUAUUUCAUGAUCUGGAAACUUUCAGCUCCUUUAAUAUGAAAAUGUUCAACAUGAAGUAUUAAAGAUGUAAGGAUUCAGAGGUUGCAGGAGGCCAAGGAAGAUUAAGAGAUUCUUUCCUCCAAAUCAAGUGCAUAGUGUAUCCAUUAUGGGGCAUGGAGAGUCCCCUCCCCUCCCCCAUCCUCUCCACUUAAUGGGAAAAUGUUGAAAACUUUGAAGAAAUGCUUUCUUUGUUCUUUAAGUUCCAUGAUUAAUUAGGUAUAAGCCAUGUUUCAAAACGUUUCGUCAUUUAUUUGUAAUUCUCCCCAGAGCGUGUACAGUAACUUGGCUCAGAACACACAGAUUACAUUGCAAAUGCUGCUCAUAUGCUGAAACUUUUUGUUUCCUUCCCGUCUCUUCUUUCCCCUACAAUACUUGAGUGGAAGAACAAAGCUGGAUUUCAGUUGGAGAGUGCACUCUGCUCUGUAUGGAUUUCCCUAUCGGUAACCUCCAGAAGGGGACUGUAACAGGAAGCAUUCGGUGGUCGGCCUCAUAACCACACUCAAGGCGGAGACACCAGGGUUGCUCUAGCCCCGGGAUCUCUGCACCAGUCAAGCAAGGACGUGCAUUUGCUUCAAGUCCCUCUUCAUCUCUGCAUCUCCACUGACAGUGGCCCCGGGAGUGGUAACCAAGCAUCAGGUGGACCAACUCAUCCUGCCAAACAGAGAAGUAGAGGCUGAGGCUUCAGUCCCACAUGGUUGUAAAUGUUUUGAGAUGCAAGAAGGGAAGAUGUCAUAGGCCAUGAAGACAGCAUCUCUGUGAGUGGCAUCCCGGGCCCAUCCUCAAUCUGGCUGGCUGGUCAGUGUGGACAUGGAGAUACGGACGUCUUGUGUUUGGACCAGGGAAAGCAUCACCUAUCUCUUGCUUCACAGGGAAAAGUGUGGUAUGUGGGGAAAUGCAGAAAUGAGCAAGCCCCAGCCCAGGCACUGGGUAAAGACAGAGGAACACUGGUAACAAUGAUACGUCACAUUUCCACGAGCACACCGUGCAUCUGAUCGUCGCCGUGACAGCGUCCCUAUUACUGUUAAAUGUUCAUGCCAAUUUUCUACAUGCCAAAAUUUAAUCCGGAAUAUUCAGCUACUCGGGUGAUGGCAUUCUUCUUUGCGUCCUAGAAGUAAAGAACACACAGCAGAUUCUUUGGAAAUUAAAUAUGCCUUUAUUCGCAAAUAUUUCAUUAAAGAGCCCGGAAGGACAAAAGAUGCCUAAACUGGCAGUUCAGUCUUUGCCGUCUGAGAACAAGUUCUUAGAAACUCCAAGAAAUGGGCACGGGGCUGCAUCAAGGGACUGGGAAAUUACUCAUUCUGAUAAAAUUCCAUUUUCUUAUUUCGGAGGGAACUGGGGAGAUGGUGUCCAAGAAAACAGGACAUUCCAUUGGGACUAGCUGCAUGCCUGGUUGCAAUUGAUCCGCAGCUCCAACAGCUGAAGAAGGAAGGGGCGGGUAGCAAUUGCCUGUUCUUGGAGAGGCCACCAAGCAGCAAGAUCUCUUGGCCUUUUUUUCCCUGGAAACCCACCAGUGAUGUUCAAGCCGUUUACAAAGAGCCCUCAGAGAUGUUCUCUGAGGCAAUCCCAGGAAGACUCCUAGAAGUAGAGCUACCAGGGCAGAGCUGAGUGGCUACCACAGGCACAGCCUGAUGUCUACGACAGACCCUCUGUGGAAGAAAUGGCUGACCCUCUGCCUGCGUUCAAAUCCCAGCUCCGCCCAUCGUGCCCUCCGUGACCUUGGGAAGAUGAGGGGACAUCUCUGCCAGCUUCCUCUGCUGGAAGAGGGCGGUGAUGAAACCUACCUCAAUGCAUCUGAUGAGAUUAAAGUGCAGCAACACAUCGAAGGCUGCCACCUCAGAGCUACCUUCCCAGAGGACCAGGGCAAGCCCAGGAGCACAGUGGGGUUGGCAGCAGUUACAGUGCCUACUGUGUGGGGGUCAGGAGCAAUGGGACAGGGGAGGCUGAGACUGGAGCCGUGGGCCCAUCUGUGUGAAAGCAGAAAGCAGGAGCCCAGGAGAAUCUGACGGAUCCCACUCCCAGGGAUCAGUCAGGACCAGGCUGGUCGCUAAGUCAAGAGGUGCAAGUUGGCUUUAGACAGGAAGGACUCUCGAAACCAGAAGGGGCUGGGGACAGAGGACUCUGGAAGACUCCCCCUCAGUCCCAGGCAGCACUCCAGGCAGGGACCAGUUUAGAAAGACAGGCUUGUCGUCCUCCUUUUCCUGAUGAGGAGACAGGAGCUCUGGGUGGUUAAAGGACUUGCACAAGAGAAUUCCACUUGUCAAUCACCAAAUCCACAAAGCCACGCACCUGGACCUGGGCUUCUCCCUUGAUCCACCCAGCCAGCCUUCCUACCCAGGUUCAAAUCCUCCCCUGGUGGUUCUUAGGAACGACAGCACUAAGUUAAAGGGGAACAUAACUCUGCGGUUAUGUUUUUUGGUUUUUCCAAGAACAGAGAACAGUAAUUAAAAAAAAAAAUUGAGUUUCACUCCACUGUGUUUUCCCCUUUUGUACAGAAUACUGUGUAUUCUUUAUUGCUGGGUGUCACAGGCUCAGGUUUUCAGCAAGGCCUGUAACCGGGGUCUUCAGCCUACAGGAUCCAUCCUCUCCGUGGCUCAGGGACAACUCUGCAAAUGGCAAAUUGCUUAUGAUU